CCUACGGGUGGCAGCAGUGGGGAAUAUUGCACAAUGGGGGGAACCCUGAUGCAGCGACGCCGCGUGAGUGAAGAAGUAUUUCGGUAUGUAAAGCUCUAUCAGCAGGGAAGAAAAUGACGAUACCUGCCUAAGAAGCCCCGGCUAACUACGGGCCAGCAGCCGCGGUAAUACGUAGGGGGCAAGCGUUAUCCGGAGUUACUGGGGGUAAAGGGAGCGUAGACGGUAAUGCAAGUCUGAAGUGAAAGCCCGAGGCUCAACCAUGGGACUGCUGUGGAAACUGUAAAACUGGAGUGCAGGAGAGGUAAGCGGAAUUCCUAGUGUAGCGGUGAAAUGCGUAGAUAUUAGGAGGAACACCAGUGGCGAAGGCGGCUUACUGGACUGUAACUGACGUUGAGGCUCGAAGGCGUGGGGAGCAAACAGGAUUAGAUACCCGAGUAGUC
RNAcentral lists this ribosomal RNA (440 nucleotides) under uncultured bacterium. RNAcentral's name for it is "partial 16S ribosomal RNA". It matches the Rfam family "Bacterial small subunit ribosomal RNA", at positions 338 to 795 of the family's 1533-position model. The record is from RNAcentral.